This 1416-nucleotide ribosomal RNA is filed under the name Staphylococcus haemolyticus. RNAcentral's name for it is "bacterial SSU rRNA". It matches the Rfam family "Bacterial small subunit ribosomal RNA". The record is from RNAcentral. Lineage: Bacteria; Bacillati; Bacillota; Bacilli; Caryophanales; Staphylococcaceae.
UGCAAGUCGAGCGAACAGAUAAGGAGCUUGCUCCUUUGACGUUAGCGGCGGACGGGUGAGUAACACGUGGGUAACCUACCUAUAAGACUGGGAUAACUUCGGGAAACCGGAGCUAAUACCGGAUAAUAUUUCGAACCGCAUGGUUCGAUAGUGAAAGAUGGUUUUGCUAUCACUUAUAGAUGGACCCGCGCCGUAUUAGCUAGUUGGUAAGGUAACGGCUUACCAAGGCGACGAUACGUAGCCGACCUGAGAGGGUGAUCGGCCACACUGGAACUGAGACACGGUCCAGACUCCUACGGGAGGCAGCAGUAGGGAAUCUUCCGCAAUGGGCGAAAGCCUGACGGAGCAACGCCGCGUGAGUGAUGAAGGUCUUCGGAUCGUAAAACUCUGUUAUUAGGGAAGAACAUACGUGUAAGUAACUGUGCACGUCUUGACGGUACCUAAUCAGAAAGCCACGGCUAACUACGUGCCAGCAGCCGCGGUAAUACGUAGGUGGCAAGCGUUAUCCGGAAUUAUUGGGCGUAAAGCGCGCGUAGGCGGUUUUUUAAGUCUGAUGUGAAAGCCCACGGCUCAACCGUGGAGGGUCAUUGGAAACUGGAAAACUUGAGUGCAGAAGAGGAAAGUGGAAUUCCAUGUGUAGCGGUGAAAUGCGCAGAGAUAUGGAGGAACACCAGUGGCGAAGGCGACUUUCUGGUCUGUAACUGACGCUGAUGUGCGAAAGCGUGGGGAUCAAACAGGAUUAGAUACCCUGGUAGUCCACGCCGUAAACGAUGAGUGCUAAGUGUUAGGGGGUUUCCGCCCCUUAGUGCUGCAGCUAACGCAUUAAGCACUCCGCCUGGGGAGUACGACCGCAAGGUUGAAACUCAAAGGAAUUGACGGGGACCCGCACAAGCGGUGGAGCAUGUGGUUUAAUUCGAAGCAACGCGAAGAACCUUACCAAAUCUUGACAUCCUUUGACAACUCUAGAGAUAGAGCUUUCCCCUUCGGGGGACAAAGUGACAGGUGGUGCAUGGUUGUCGUCAGCUCGUGUCGUGAGAUGUUGGGUUAAGUCCCGCAACGAGCGCAACCCUUAAGCUUAGUUGCCAUCAUUAAGUUGGGCACUCUAAGUUGACUGCCGGUGACAAACCGGAGGAAGGUGGGGAUGACGUCAAAUCAUCAUGCCCCUUAUGAUUUGGGCUACACACGUGCUACAAUGGACAAUACAAAGGGCAGCGAAACCGCGAGGUCAAGCAAAUCCCAUAAAGUUGUUCUCAGUUCGGAUUGUAGUCUGCAACUCGACUACAUGAAGCUGGAAUCGCUAGUAAUCGUAGAUCAGCAUGCUACGGUGAAUACGUUCCCGGGUCUUGUACACACCGCCCGUCACACCACGAGAGUUUGUAACACCCGAAGCCGGUGGAGUAACCAUUGGAGCUAGCC